RNAcentral lists this ribosomal RNA (501 nucleotides) under Acinetobacter sp. WH374. Its description in RNAcentral is "bacterial SSU rRNA". It matches the Rfam family "Bacterial small subunit ribosomal RNA", at positions 102 to 598 of the family's 1533-position model. Lineage: Bacteria; Pseudomonadati; Pseudomonadota; Gammaproteobacteria; Moraxellales; Moraxellaceae. The record is from RNAcentral.
ACGGGUGAGUAAUGCUUAGGAAUCUGCCAUUUAGUGGGGGACAACAUUCCGAAAGGAAUGCUAAUACCGCAUACGUCCUACGGGAGAAAGCAGGGGAUCUUCGGACCUUGCGCUAAAUGAUGAGCCUAAGUCGGAUUAGCUAGUUGGUGGGGUAAAGGCCUACCAAGGCGACGAUCUGUAGCGGGUCUGAGAGGAUGAUCCGCCACACUGGGACUGAGACACGGCCCAGACUCCUACGGGAGGCAGCAGUGGGGAAUAUUGGACAAUGGGCGGAAGCCUGAUCCAGCCAUGCCGCGUGUGUGAAGAAGGCCUUUUGGUUGUAAAGCACUUUAAGCGAGGAGGAGGCUACUAGUACUAAUACUACUGGAUAGUGGACGUUACUCGCAGAAUAAGCACCGGCUAACUCUGUGCCAGCAGCCGCGGUAAUACAGAGGGUGCGAGCGUUAAUCGGAUUUACUGGGCGUAAAGCGUGCGUAGGCGGCUUUUUAAGUCGGAUGUGAA